This 1014-nucleotide ribosomal RNA is filed under the name uncultured bacterium. RNAcentral's name for it is "bacterial SSU rRNA". It matches the Rfam family "Bacterial small subunit ribosomal RNA", at positions 28 to 1043 of the family's 1533-position model. The record is from RNAcentral.
GACGAACGCUGGCGGCGUGCUUAAUACAUGCAAGUCGAGCGAGGUUACUGUUUUGGAUCCCUUCGGGGUGAAGAAGCUUUAACCUAGCGGCGGACGGGUGAGUAACGCGUGGGUAACCUACCCCAAAGUCCGGGAUAACAGCGGGAAACCGCUGCUAAUACCGGAUGCCUUUACCUUGGGGCAUCUUGAGGUAAAGAAAGGCAACGCUUUGGGAUGGGCCCGCGUCCCAUUAGCUAGUUGGUGAGGUAACGGCUCACCAAGGCGACGAUGGGUAGCCGGCCUGAGAGGGUGGACGGCCACACUGGGACUGAGACACGGCCCAGACUCCUACGGGAGGCAGCAGUAGGGAAUAUUGCGCAAUGGACGGAAGUCUGACGCAGCGACGCCGCGUGAGCGAUGAAGGUCUUCGGAUCGUAAAGCUCUGUCCUUGGGGAAGAAGGCGAAAGCUUGACGGUACCCAAGAAGAAAGCCCCGGCUAACUACGUGCCAGCAGCCGCGGUAAUACGUAGGGGGCGAGCGUUGUCCGGAAUUACUGGGCGUAAAGGGUGCGUAGGCGGCCCUUUAAGUCGGAUGUGAAAGCCCGCGGCUUAACCGCGGAAUGGCAUUCGAAACUGGAGGGCUUGAGUGUCGGAGAGGGUAGUGGAAUUCCCAGUGUAGCGGUGAAAUGCGUAGAUAUUGGGAGGAACACCAGUGGCGAAGGCGACUACCUGGACGAUAACUGACGCUGAGGCACGAAAGCUAGGGGAGCAAACAGGAUUAGAUACCCUGGUAGUCCUAGCCGUAAACGAUGGGUACUAGGUGUGGGUGGUUUCGAUACCAUCCGUGCCGUAGUUAACGCAUUAAGUACCCCGCCUGGGGAGUACGUGCGCAAGCAUGAAACUCAAGGAAUUGACGGGGGCCCGCACAGCGGUGGAGCAUGUGGUUUAAUCNAAGCAACGCGAAGACCUUACCAGGUCUUGACAUCACCUAGCAGCCAUGGAAACNUGCCCUCUUCGGACUGGGUGACAGGUGUGC